GCCUACGGGAGGCAGCAGUGGGGAAUCUUGGACAAUGGGCGCAAGCCUGAUCCAGCCAUGCCGCGUGAGUGAUGAAGGCCCUAGGGUCGUAAAGCUCUUUCGCCAGAGAUGAUAAUGACAGUAUCUGGUAAAGAAACCCCGGCUAACUCCGUGCCAGCAGCCGCGGUAAUACGGAGGGGGUUAGCGUUGUUCGGAAUUACUGGGCGUAAAGCGCGCGUAGGCGGACCAGAAAGUAAGGGGUGAAAUCCCAGGGCUCAACCCUGGAACUGCCUCUUAAACUCCUGGUCUUGAGUUCGAGAGAGGUGAGUGGAAUUCCGAGUGUAGAGGUGAAAUUCGUAGAUAUUCGGAGGAACACCCAGUGGCGAAGGCGGCUCACUGGCUCGAUACUGACGCUGAGGUGCGAAAGUGUGGGGAGCAAACAGGAUUAGAUACCCUGGUAGUCCACACCGUAAACGAUGAAUGCCAGUCGUCGGGUAGCAUGCUAUUCGGUGACACACCUAACGGAUAAGC
RNAcentral lists this ribosomal RNA (510 nucleotides) under uncultured bacterium. RNAcentral's name for it is "bacterial SSU rRNA". It matches the Rfam family "Bacterial small subunit ribosomal RNA", at positions 337 to 865 of the family's 1533-position model. The record is from RNAcentral.